AUUGAACGCUGGCGGCAGGCUUAACACAUGCAAGUCGAGCGGGGUGAUGGUGCUUGCACUAUCACUUAGCGGCGGACGGGUGAGUAAUGCUUAGGAAUCUGCCUAUUAGUGGGGGACAACAUCUCGAAAGGGAUGCUAAUACCGCAUACGUCCUACGGAUCAAAGCAGCAAUGCGCUAGAGGAGGGGCCUGCGGCUGAUUAGCUUGUUGGUAGGGUAAUGGCCUACCAAGGCGACGAUCAGUAGCUGGAUCGAGAGGUUGACCAGCCACACUGGGACUGAGAUACGGCCCAGACUCCUACGGGAGGCAGCAGUGGGGAAUAUUGGACAAUGGGGGGAACCCUGAUCCAGCCAUGCCGCGUGUGUGAAGAAGGCCUUAUGGUUGUAAAGCACUUUAAGCGAGGAGGAGGCUACUCUAGUUAAUACCUAGGGAUAGUGGACGUUACUCGCAGAAUAAGCACCGGCUAACUCUGUGCCAGCCGCCGCGGUAA
RNAcentral lists this ribosomal RNA (489 nucleotides) under uncultured bacterium. RNAcentral describes it as "partial 16S ribosomal RNA". It matches the Rfam family "Bacterial small subunit ribosomal RNA", at positions 30 to 523 of the family's 1533-position model. The record is from RNAcentral.